GUGCCGUUGCGCAGCGGGAGAGCAUCCGCGAAGUCGUCGUUCGCAGGCGCGGGGGCGCGGCCCAGAGGGACGGUUCCGAGGUCGGCACGGGGCC
This 94-nucleotide transfer RNA is filed under the name Flavimobilis marinus. RNAcentral's name for it is "tRNA-Thr". Lineage: Bacteria; Bacillati; Actinomycetota; Actinomycetes; Micrococcales; Jonesiaceae. The record is from RNAcentral.